UACAGAGGGCGCAAGCGUUGUUCGGAUUUAUUGGGCGUAAAGGGUGCGUAGGCGGCUCGGCAAGUCGGGUGUGAAAUCUCGGAGCUUAACUCCGAAACUGCAUUCGAUACUGCCGUGCUUGAGGACUGGAGAGGAGACUGGAAUUUACGGUGUAGCGGUGAAAUGCGUAGAUAUCGGAAGGAAGACCAGUGGCGAAGGCGGGUCUCUGGACAGUACCUGACGCUGAGGAACGAAGGUCAGGGGAGCAAACGGG
This 253-nucleotide ribosomal RNA is filed under the name uncultured bacterium. RNAcentral's name for it is "partial 16S ribosomal RNA". It matches the Rfam family "Bacterial small subunit ribosomal RNA", at positions 524 to 776 of the family's 1533-position model. The record is from RNAcentral.